AUGCGACAGCAAGGUAACUUGUGCGCCAUGCACCGAGAAGCAGAGGAGGAGGAGCUCUGGCACCGCGGCCAUGGCGACGGUAUCACCUCGACGCACACGUACACGGUACACCUCUUGCCGUCGACGUCGCCCGAUGAGGAGGAGGAGGAGAACUCGCCGAUCGAGCAGGUGGCGCUGACGGUGCCCGUGGGCGACGACCCGGACACGCCCUUGCUCACCUUCCGGAUGUGGGUCCUCGGCAUGGCGUCCCGCGCGGUGCUCUCCUUCCUCAACCAGUUCUUCUGGUACCGCAAGGAGCCGCUCACCAUCACCGCCAUCUCGGCCCAGAUCGCCGUGGUGCCGCUCGGCCGCCUCAUGGCCGCGGCGCUCCCCGAGCGCGCCUUCUUCCGCGGCAGGCCGUACGAGUUCACCCUCAACCCGGGGCCGUUCAACGUGAAGGAGCACGUGCUCAUCACCAUCUUCGCCAACGCCGGCGCCGGCACCGUCUACGCCAUCCACGUCGUCACCGCCGUCCGCGUCUUCUACGGCAAGAACCUCACCUUCUUUGCCUCGCUCCUCGUGGUGCUCACCACCCAGGUGCUCGGGUUCGGGUGGGCGGGGAUUUUCCGGCGGUACCUGGUGGAGCCAGCGGCCAUGUGGUGGCCGUCCAACCUCGUGCAGGUCUCCCUCUUCAGGGCGCUCCACGAGAAGGAGGUGCGGAGCAAAGGCGGCUUCACGCGCAGCCAGUUCUUCCUGGUGGCCUUCGUCUGCAGCUUCGUCUACUACAUCUUCCCCGGCUACCUGUUCCAGAUGCUCACCUCCCUCUCAUGGAUCUGCUGGGUCUUCCCCAACUCCGUGUUGGCCCAGCAGCUCGGCUCGGGCCUCUACGGCCUCGGCAUCGGCUCCAUCGGCCUCGACUGGGCCUCUGUCUCGUCUUACCUCGGGAGCCCCCUCGCCAGCCCCUGGUUCGCCACCGCCAACGUCGCCGCAGGAUUCUUCAUCAUCAUGUACGUGAUCACGCCCAUGGCGUACCGGUUCAACUUGUACAAGGCGCGGAACUUUCCCAUCUUCUCUCAUGGGCUCUUCACCGAGUCCGGGCACAAGUACAACAUCACGAGCAUCGUGGACUCCCAGUUCCAUUUUGACACGGAGGCCUACCAGAAGAAUGGUCCACUGUACCUCAGCACUUUCUUUGCUGUCACGUAUGGUGUCCGGUUUGCAUCCCUUACCGCAACGAUCAUCCAUGUCCUCCUCUUCCAUGGAAGUGAAAUUAGGCAGUUAAGUAAAUCAGCUUUCCAAGAGAAGAGGGUGGAUGUACACACAAAGCUUAUGAGGAGAUAUAAGCAGGUCCCCGAGUGGUGGUUCAUCUGCAUCCUUAUUGUUAACAUUGCCGCCACCGUAUUUGCUUGUGAAUACCACAUCGAGCAACUGCAGCUGCCCUGGUGGGGUGUGCUGCUUGCAUGUGCCAUAGCCUUUUUCUUUACCCUCCCAGUUGGAAUUAUCACAGCAACUACGAACCAGACUCCAGGAUUGAACAUCAUCACAGAGUACAUCAUGGGGUACUUGUACCCUGGACGUCCGGUCGCAAAUAUGUGCUUCAAGGUAUAUGGCUACAUCAGCAUGAGCCAAGCUCUGACGUUUCUGCAAGAUUUUAAGUUGGGCCACUACAUGAAGAUUCCCCCAAGGACCAUGUUCAUGGCUCAGGUAAUUAACCUUUUACUCAAAUAA
This 1707-nucleotide ribosomal RNA is filed under the name Triticum aestivum (bread wheat). Its description in RNAcentral is "partial small subunit ribosomal RNA". The record is from RNAcentral. Lineage: Eukaryota; Viridiplantae; Streptophyta; Magnoliopsida; Poales; Poaceae.